Molecule: non-coding RNA, 3659 nt
Organism: Peromyscus maniculatus bairdii (prairie deer mouse)
Lineage: Eukaryota; Metazoa; Chordata; Mammalia; Rodentia; Cricetidae
Source: RefSeq, a predicted model, not a curated record
GUUGCCAUGGCGGCAUCUGCCGCAGCGACCGGAGGCCGGCAGCUGCUGCUGGUUCUGAGCGCCCUAGGACUCUUGGCCUCAGGGGCUCCACAGCCCCCCAACAUCGUGCUGAUGCUCAUGGACGAUAUGGGCUGGGGUGACCUGGGUGUGUAUGGAGAGCCUUCCAGAGAGACCCCAAAUUUGGACCGGAUGGCUGCAGAAGGGAUGCUUUUCCCAAACUUCUAUUCUGCCAACCCUCUGUGCUCACCAUCCAGGGCAGCCCUGCUCACAGGACGGCUGCCCAUCCGCAAUGGCUUCUACACAUCCAACGCGCAUGCAAGGAAUGCUUACACACCUCAGGAGAUCAUGGGUGGCAUCCCUAACUCAGAGCACCUCCUGCCUGAGCUCCUGAAGAAGGCAGGCUACACCAACAAGAUUGUGGGCAAGUGGCAUCUAGGUCACAGACCCCAGUUCCACCCCCUGAAACAUGGAUUUGAUGAGUGGUUUGGAUCCCCCAACUGUCACUUUGGACCUUACGACAACAAGGUCAAGCCCAACAUCCCUGUGUACAGGGACUGGGAGAUGGUCGGCAGAUUUUAUGAAGAAUUCCCAAUUAACCUGAAGACCGGGGAAGCUAACCUCACCCAGCUCUACUUACAGGAAGCUCUGGACUUCAUCAGGACACAGCAUGCGAGGCAGAGCCCCUUCUUCCUCUACUGGGCCAUCGACGCCACUCAUGCACCAGUUUAUGCCUCAAGACCUUUCUUGGGUACCAGCCUUCGAGGGCGGUAUGGUGAUGCUGUUCGGGAAAUAGAUGACAGUGUUGGGAAAAUCCUGAGCCUUCUGCAGAACUUGGGCAUCAGUAAGAACACAUUUGUCUUCUUCACAUCUGAUAACGGGGCAGCCCUCGUUUCUGCUCCCAAACAAGGUGGCAGCAAUGGUCCCUUCCUGUGUGGGAAGCAGACUACAUUUGAAGGUGGCAUGAGGGAACCUGCGAUCGCUUGGUGGCCAGGGCACAUUGCUGCAGGCCAGGUCAGCCACCAGCUGGGAAGCAUCAUGGACCUCUUUACCACCAGCCUGUCCCUUGCAGGCCUGAAGCCACCCAGUGACAGGGUAAUCGACGGACUUGACCUACUCCCCAACAUGCUUCAGGGCCACACCAUGGACAGGCCCAUAUUUUAUUACCGUGGCAACACACUGAUGGCAGUCACUCUUGGCCAGUACAAGGCCCACUUCUGGACUUGGACCAACUCCUGGGAGGAGUUCAGACAGGUACAGGCCCCUGAGUACAAGCCCUGGGAGGGGCACCACUGGAAGAUCCCUGGAGAACUGAUCUGUCCACUUCUAAGCUACCAUCAGGGGAGGGCAUUGACUUCUGUCCCGGUCAGAAUGUCUCAGGAGUCACAACCCAUACCCAGGAAGAACACACGGAGCUACCCCUGAUCUUCCACCUGGGACGUGACCCAGGGGAGAGAUUCCCACUCAGGUGAGGCAGGGGCAGGGUGUCCAUGCUCCAGAGGAGACAUUGGCCAGACAGGCCAAAGGUGAGAACCACGUCUGGGUGUUCUGUCUUCCAUGGAGUUACUCCUCUGGUCUCAGAAGGAAUGUAUGCCUUUGUGAGGGUGUGAACCACACAGAGGGCUGGAACCAGAACCCACAGCACUCAUCUAGGGCCGAUGUUGAACCUAUCAAUUCCCAGAAACCUACAUCUCCACUUUGGAUCGUGGCUGCCUUGCUCUCUGGGAGCCCUCUUCUUGUAUUCCUUUCCUGGUUGCUUCUCAUCUCUGCCCCUUCUAGGUUCUGUCCACUUACACCCCCCAGCAAUGGGUCCUAUUCUCUGAGCUACCUUCAGGGAUGGCCAAGGGAUCCAGGCUUAGGAUACAUCUGUCCGCACUGCCUAGUCCUCUUCCUAGAAGGCUGCUGUGCUGGGAGUGGCCCUACUGUCAUCAAGGGAGCAGCCAAACCUAGCGCAAGGUUGGAGUACAGCCUAAGUCUCUGAAGGCCUUCAGUUCCCUUGGGAUCACAGUGGUGGUUGGGGUACUUGCAGGGUAGGGACCAGGGGGUCAUCUUCUUACCAGUCAUCCUGAGACAUGAGGAAAUCUGAGGACUUAGUUCACAUGCAGAAUUCUCUCUGCCCAUGUCUUGUUAGAUCCUGAGUUGCAGAUAACUGAGAUUCGUCUGCAGCCUGAGCUUGGCACCCUGCAUGUACCCAGCCCCAGGCUCUGCUCAUUGUGGGCAUAUCAGCGGUGUGUGUUGUGCUGAGCCAUGCACCACACAGUGAGUGUGCUGUGGUUUGCUUCACACUCAGCUAAAGGCUCCCUGACAGUCCAGCAGAUGCUAUGGUACAGGGGGAUGGAUGGACCUUGUUGGAAUGGUCAGGUGAAGGGGGGUUGUACAGAAUGGGGCAGGAGAGGACACAGAUGGCUAGAUAGCUCAGUGGAGAGUGCUUGCCUAGUGCUCCAUCCCUAGCACCUCCAGAAAAGAAAAAUAUAUUUCAUUGGUCUUGUCUGGGAGGGAAAUUUAGCAUUAAAUUUUUAUUUAUUUGAGACAGGGUCUUACUAUGUAGCCCUGGCCUGGAAUUCACUAUACAAGGCUGGCCUCAAACUCACAUUGAUCAGCCUGCCUCUGCCUCCUGAGUGUUGGCUUUAAAGGUGUGAGCCACCAUGCUCCCCUUGGCAUUAACCUUUAAGGAACCACCGGUCAUGUCCCAGGGCUGAGGCCUUGGUUCCUCAUGGCCUCCCCAUGCUGCCCAGGGACAGACUUGUUCCAUGGGAUGUAGCAGCUCAUGGGUUUUCAUUUAUAGUUCCCUGAGGACACAUUGUGUGGGCAACAGUAAACAUGAUGUAAAAUGACAAAAAGACUUGGUCCCCAUUGACAUCCUUGCAGCUUCAUUUUAGUACCACAGUUGGUGACAGUCCAGAGGUUGGUUAUGUGCCAUCUGCAUGGUGCAUCCAUUAACUUGUCUUCUUAGUGAAAAAUGAAUCAAAUUCUGAAGGUGCCUAUGCUGGAACUUCAGGGCUGUGUGUGCUGUUUUCCUUCCAUCUGCACCUGACCCCUUCUCAGCAUAAGACAGGACUUUCUAAGGAAACAGCACGUGUCGUAUGUGUACGUGUUUCAGAACAGUGCCAACUGCUGUGGCGGUUCCCGUGGAGAGGCCCCAGUCUGCAGGGCCCAGUCUCCAACCCACACACAGGUCGUGUUGGCAGUGACAGAGGAGGGCUCCCUGCCAUAGCUCAGCUUCCUAGGCCCUCAUUUCCUUCCCCUGGCAGAGUCUGACCACAGGAGAGCAGCUCACAGUACAGACAGCUGUCCAGGGAGGCUCAAGGGUCACCAUGUGGGAGCCCACAGCCCACUCUGACUUCAGACUGCCACCCUUGCUCUUCCCACCUCUAGAGACAACUCAAGGUCUCAGGCUUUCCAGGCUAGACCACUUCAUGUCCUAGAAUGUCUGUGAACCUCCUAAGCUGCCUGCCAGGAGAUGAUUGGCCUUGGACACAAGAGCAUUGUAACCAGAGCCUUCUUCUCUCCAGCUUUGCCAGUGAUGAAUACCAGGAUGUCCUCAGCAGGAUGACCCAGGUUGUCCAGCGGCACCAGAAGUCCUUGGUCCCUGGACAGCCCCAGCUCAAUGUGUGUAGCCAGGCUGUCAUGAAUUGGGCACCCCCAGGCUGUGAAAAGCUAGG